Molecule: ribosomal RNA, 492 nt
Filed under: uncultured bacterium
Lineage: Bacteria
Description: partial 16S ribosomal RNA
Rfam family: Bacterial small subunit ribosomal RNA
Source: RNAcentral
AGCGAACGCUGGCGGUAGGCCUAACACAUGCAAGUCGAACGGCAGCACAGUAAGAGCUUGCUCUUACGGGUGGCGAGUGGCGGACGGGUGAGGAAUACAUCGGAAUCUACUUUUUCGUGGGGGAUAACGUAGGGAAACUUACGCCAAUACCGCAUACGACCCACGGGUGAAAGCAGUGGAUCUUCGGACCUUGCGCGAUUGAAUGAGCCGAUGUCGGAUUAGCUAGUUGGCGGGGUAAAGGCCCACCAAGGCGACGAUCCGUAGCUGGUCUGAGAGGCUGAUCGGCCACAUGGGAACUGAGACACGGUCCAGACGCCUACGGGAGGCAGCAGUGGGGAAUAGGAGACAAUGGGCGCAAGCCUGAUCCAGCCAUACCACGUCGGUGAAGAAGGCCUUCGGGUUGGAAAGCCCUUUUGUUGGGAAAGAAAAGCAGCAGGUUAAGACCCCGCUGUUCUGACGGUACCCAAAGAAUAAGCACCGGCUAACUUCGUG